RNAcentral lists this long non-coding RNA (217 nucleotides) under Carica papaya (papaya). RNAcentral describes it as "long non-coding RNA (CPAP_LNC010083)". The record is from RNAcentral. Lineage: Eukaryota; Viridiplantae; Streptophyta; Magnoliopsida; Brassicales; Caricaceae.
CCGCGAUGUGUGCAUACACUCUGGUAGUGCGCAUGCCUAUCUUGUGCAUGUGCGGAUGGUAGGCUGUGUCCAUGCGUGCAGGCCUCCCCUUGCAAGUGGGUUUUCUCUCCUACAUACCCGCAGUUUCGCGAGUAAUUUUCCCACGACCACUUCAAUUCUUGUGGGUUUCCCACUCAAUCUGGGACUACUUUUCUCAAAUCUCAAAGCUCUUAGAUUU